Limanda limanda (common dab) is the source of this 434-nucleotide long non-coding RNA. RefSeq lists it as uncharacterized. The record is from RefSeq and is a predicted model, not a curated record. The transcript has 3 exons. Lineage: Eukaryota; Metazoa; Chordata; Actinopteri; Pleuronectiformes; Pleuronectidae.
AACACACACACAAACAAAGAGGCGUUAGGCGGAGACGCUGAAAGUCCGGAUUUAAAGUGCAGAAAAUUAAGCCAUUGAAUCUGCCUGUCCAUGACGUACAAAGACACACUAUGAGCCAGUAUGAUCCGACCAGACCUUACAUCAAUAUUGAGGAGUUGUCGGAGAAGAAAGAGGCUGAUUGAAGCGGGACAGAUGACAUGGAUCCAUCCUUCCACAGCCAGGAGCGCACCGACCUGUGUGCCACACUUCAUAUAAGACUGGAAGCUACACUGAUCUCACAGCUACACACCACAGACGUCUACACACUGGAGAAGAUUCAGACAGAGUCCCACAAAGAAGUCAUGUCCCAGAGGCUGCAGAGAAACAUUUCAAGCCUCAUCUGAGUUUUUGUACAAUAUUUUUGCUGUAUGUAAAUAAAGCUUUCACUCCACAUA